UAAAUAUUUACAUUGAAAUCA
RNAcentral lists this non-coding RNA (21 nucleotides) under Caenorhabditis elegans. Lineage: Eukaryota; Metazoa; Nematoda; Chromadorea; Rhabditida; Rhabditidae. The record is from RNAcentral.